RNAcentral lists this ribosomal RNA (497 nucleotides) under uncultured bacterium. Its description in RNAcentral is "partial 16S ribosomal RNA". It matches the Rfam family "Bacterial small subunit ribosomal RNA", at positions 28 to 507 of the family's 1533-position model. The record is from RNAcentral.
GAUGAAUGCUGGCGGCGUGCCUAAUACAUGCAAGUCGAACGACCGGACGAGAAGCUUGCUUCUCUGAUUUUCGCGGCGCACGGGUGUGUAACACGUGUAUAACCCUCCUAAAUGACUGGGAUUACCUCGGGAAACCGUACCUUAUUCCCGCUAAUAUUUUGCACCGCAUGGUUCAAAAUUGAAAGACGUCCUUGCUGUCACUUAUCCAUGGUCCCGCGCUGCAUUAGCUAGUUGGUAAGGUAACGGCUUACCAAGGCAACGAUGCGUAGCUGACAUGAGAGGGUGAUAGGCCACACUGGAACUGAGACACGGUCCAGACUCCUACGGGAGGCAGCAGUAGGGAAUCUUCCGCAAUGGGCGAAAGCCUGACGGAGCAACGCCGCGUGGGUGAAGAAGGUCUUCGGGUCGUAAAACUCUGUUGUUGGGGAAGAAAAUAUGUAGAAGUAAAUGUGCAGAUCAUGACGGUACCUAAUGAGAAAGCAACGGCUAACUACGUG